UACGAAGGGGGCUAGCGUUGCUCGGAAUCACUGGGCGUAAAGGGUGCGUAGGCGGGUCUUUAAGUCAGGGGUGAAAUCCUGGAGCUCAACUCCAGAACUGCCUUUGAUACUGAAGAUCUUGAGUUCGGGAGAGGUGAGUGGAACUGCGAGUGUAGAGGUGAAAUUCGUAGAUAUUCGCAAGAACACCAGUGGCGAAGGCGGCUCACUGGCCCGAUACUGACGCUGAGGCACGAAAGCGUGGGAAGCAAACGGG
Molecule: ribosomal RNA, 253 nt
Filed under: uncultured bacterium
Lineage: Bacteria
Description: partial 16S ribosomal RNA
Rfam family: Bacterial small subunit ribosomal RNA
Source: RNAcentral